AACAACACGUAGUCUUUCUUCCCUUACUUCCCGGUAAAGUGUUUGCCAGCCAUUAUAAACCUAAGCAUUGCUUCAAAGGCUGACUAAGGCCAUCCAAUGAAGUUACAGUCCAAAAGAAAAACCUUUACAGGAAUAUUUCAAAGAUAAAGCAAAGAAAAGGAAACCUCUGACAAAAGAUAAGCAUUCAAUUUCUAAAUUUCAAUCAAUGUGAAAUACUAAUUAGUAAAUCUAGCAAGUGUUAUUGCUUUGCACAGUCAGCCAUGACUAUAUGAACUAGGACUACAAUAAUGAGGCUGAAGGAAGCAAGCCUCAUUAGUUUGUAGCCACACUUCAAAGCAAACACUGUUACUGGUAAAUAGCUCUCCUCGGUAAGUUUCCUUGACAACCUAUUGAAAAUUUACUACAAAAAAAAAAAAAG
RNAcentral lists this long non-coding RNA (418 nucleotides) under Homo sapiens (human). RNAcentral describes it as "non-protein coding lnc-HMGA1-5:1". The record is from RNAcentral. Lineage: Eukaryota; Metazoa; Chordata; Mammalia; Primates; Hominidae.